This 722-nucleotide ribosomal RNA is filed under the name uncultured Fusobacterium sp. Its description in RNAcentral is "bacterial SSU rRNA". It matches the Rfam family "Bacterial small subunit ribosomal RNA", at positions 28 to 776 of the family's 1533-position model. Lineage: Bacteria; Fusobacteriati; Fusobacteriota; Fusobacteriia; Fusobacteriales; Fusobacteriaceae. The record is from RNAcentral.
GAUGAACGCUGACAGAAUGCUUAACACAUGCAAGUCAACUUGAACUUCGGUUUGGGUGGCGGACGGGUGAGUAACGCGUAAAGAACUUGCCUCACAGAUAGGGACAACAUUUGGAAACGAAUGCUAAUACCUGAUAUUAUGAUUUUAGGGCAUCCUAGGAUUAUGAAAGCUAUAUGCACUGUGAGAGAGCUUUGCGUCCCAUUAGCUAGUUGGAGAGGUAACGGCUCACCAAGGCGAUGAUGGGUAGCCGGCCUGAGAGGGUGAUCGGCCACAAGGGGACUGAGACACGGCCCUUACUCCUACGGGAGGCAGCAGUGGGGAAUAUUGGACAAUGGACCAAGAGUCUGAUCCAGCAAUUCUGUGUGCACGAUGAAGUUUUUCGGAAUGUAAAGUGCUUUCAGUUGGGAAGAAAAAAAUGACGGUACCAACAGAAGAAGUGACGGCUAAAUACGUGCCAGCAGCCGCGGUAAUACGUAUGUCACAAGCGUUAUCCGGAUUUAUUGGGCGUAAAGCGCGUCUAGGUGGUUAUGUAAGUCUGAUGUGAAAAUGCAGGGCUCAACUCUGUAUUGCGUUGGAAACUGUGUAACUAGAGUACUGGAGAGGUAAGCGGAACUACAAGUGUGGAGGUGAAAUUCGUAGAUAUUUGUAGGAAUGCCGAUGGGGAAGCCAGCUUACUGGACAGAUACUGACGCUGAAGCGCGAAAGCGUGGGUAGCAAACAGG